This 323-nucleotide unclassified non-coding RNA is filed under the name soil metagenome. RNAcentral describes it as "partial contains 5.8S ribosomal RNA, internal transcribed spacer 2, and large subunit ribosomal RNA". The stretch from base 1 to 120 matches the Rfam family "5.8S ribosomal RNA", at positions 35 to 154 of the family's 154-position model. The record is from RNAcentral.
GAUGAAGAACGUAGCGAAAUGCGAUAAGUAGUGUGAAUUGCAGAAUUCAGUGAAUCAUCGAAUCUUUGAACGCACAUUGCGCCCCUUGGUAUUCCAUGGGGCAUGCCUGUUCGAGCGUCAUUUGUACCUUCAAGCUUUGCUUGGUGUUGGGUGUUUGUCCUGAGGGACUCGCCUUAAAGUAAUUGGCAGCCAGUGUUUGGUUUUGAAGCGCAGCACAAGUCGCGAUUCAAGGCUAUACACCAGCUUCCACAAGCCUUUUUCACUUUUGACCUCGUAUCAGGUAGGGAUACCCGCUGAACUUAAGCAUAUCAAUAAGCGGAGGA